Long non-coding RNA from Betta splendens (Siamese fighting fish), 514 nucleotides. RefSeq lists it as uncharacterized. The transcript is spliced from 2 exons. Lineage: Eukaryota; Metazoa; Chordata; Actinopteri; Anabantiformes; Osphronemidae. The record is from RefSeq and is a predicted model, not a curated record.
UCAGAGCGCCGUUGGACUUGAGCAUGUUCACCUCCUCCUCUAGCUCCCUCAAGCCACGCUCCAGAGAGCUGAUCUUUGCGUCCUGCGGGACAUCGACACAUUCAUGUCAAGCCCUUCCCUGUCAAUCUGCAGCAGAGGGAUAGUAUGAAUACUGAAGCAAAACCACUCCAACUCUGGAAAACACCCAUUCAGUGUCACAGAUUUGAAGGUUGAAGUCGGACAGAGGACUGUAGGUUUUGGCACUGGUUACUCACAAUGGAAGCAUUUAGUGGAGGACUCUGUUAAACGACAUGGACAGCAAGUAAAACCUGUUUUAGUCUUCAUAUACAGUAAGAACGGACCGUAGCAGAGUGUCCACUAGAGAGCGACAUUUGGGCUUGGUUGUGAAAUGCAUUGAUUUAUUUUAUAUAUUAUAUAUAUUUUAUUUUUUUAAAUGUAAUUUGUAAAAAAAGCACUAAUCACUAUUGCUAUAAAUUCAAUAUGUAGGUGAAAAUAAUAAAAAAAGUUAACUGUU